RNAcentral lists this ribosomal RNA (488 nucleotides) under uncultured bacterium. RNAcentral describes it as "partial 16S ribosomal RNA". It matches the Rfam family "Bacterial small subunit ribosomal RNA", at positions 28 to 507 of the family's 1533-position model. The record is from RNAcentral.
GACGAACGCUGGCGGCGUGCUUAACACAUGCAAGUCGAACGGAAAGGCCCUGCUUUUGUGGGGUGCUCGAGUGGCGAACGGGUGAGUAACACGUGAGUAACCUGCCCUUGACUUUGGGAUAACUUCAGGAAACUGGGGCUAAUACCGGAUAGGAGCUCCUGCUGCAUGGUGGGGGUUGGAAAGUUUCGGCGGUUGGGGAUGGACUCGCGGCUUAUCAGCUUGUUGGUGGGGUAGUGGCUUACCAAGGCUUUGACGGGUAGCCGGCCUGAGAGGGUGACCGGCCACACUGGAAGGGAGAGAAGGUCAAGAUGCCUAAGGGAGGCAGCAGGGGGGAAUAGGGGACAAGGGGCGCAAGGCGGAGCCAGACAGACCGCGGGGGUGAAGACGGCCUUCGGGGUGUAAAGGCGGUUGGGGGGGAAAGAAAAGCAGAAGGGUCAGACAACGCGGGGCGGACGGUACCGAAAGAAGAAGCACCGGCUAACUUCGUG